Molecule: ribosomal RNA, 253 nt
Filed under: uncultured bacterium
Lineage: Bacteria
Description: partial 16S ribosomal RNA
Rfam family: Bacterial small subunit ribosomal RNA
Source: RNAcentral
UACGUAGGUGACAAGCGUUGUCCGGAUUUACUGGGCGUAAAGAGCGCGCAGGCGGUCGAUCAAGUCGAGUGUGAAAUCCCCGGGCUUAACUUGGGAAUUGCGCUCGAAACUACGUGGCUCGAGUGUGGCAGAGGAAGGUGGAAUUCCACGUGUAGCGGUGAAAUGCGUAGAGAUGUGGAGGAACACCGAUGGCGAAGGCAGCCUUCUGGGCCAACACUGACGCUCAUGCACGAAAGCGUGGGGAGCAAACAGG